CGCCUGGGGAGUGCGGUCGCAAGACUGAAACUCAAAGGAAUUGACGGGGGCCCGCACAAGCGGUGGAGCAUGUGGUUUAAUUCGAUGAUACGCGAGGAACCUUACCAGGGCUUAAAUGUAGUUGCAUGAUUCAGAGAUGAAUCUUUCUUCGGACUACUUACAAGGUGCUGCAUGGUUGUCGUCAGCUCGUGCCGUGAGGUGUCAGGUUAAGUCCUAUAACGAGCGCAACCCCUAUCGUUAGUUACCAGUGGGUAAUCCGGGUACUCUAACGAGACUGCCAGUGCAAACUGGAGGAAGGUGGGGAUGACGUCAAAUCAUCAUGCCCCUUAUGUCCAGGGCUGCACGCAUGCUACAAUGGCAAGUACAACGAGUCGCAAUACCGCGAGGUGGAGCAAAUCUCUUAAAGCUUGUCUCAGUUCGGAUAGGAGUCUGCAACUCGACUCCUUGAAGUUGGAGUCGCUAGUAAUCGCAAAUCAGAAAGUUGCGGUGAAUACGUUCUCGGGGUUUGAACACACCGCCCGUC
Molecule: ribosomal RNA, 523 nt
Filed under: uncultured SAR324 cluster bacterium
Lineage: Bacteria; Deltaproteobacteria
Description: bacterial SSU rRNA
Rfam family: Bacterial small subunit ribosomal RNA
Source: RNAcentral